GACUACGCGGCGGAGUUCACCGACCUGGUGGUGAAGCACCUGAUUGAGCACAGUGACUCUGGGGACACGUCUGUGGUGGAGACCCUUUACUGCAGGGCCUGCGAGCUGCCCGUGCGCGUGCGGAGGGACCGCAUCCUGGAACACCUGUCCUCGGGCAGGCAGCACGGCCUGCGGACGCCCAUUCUCAUGUAAAUGUCAGUGCCAACGCUGGUGUUUCAGGAGUCAUCCCAGCGGGCUGCGGGCUAUUUUAGGAUUCUCUGCCCUGCAAACGUUUCCAAAGUACGUGGACAGGCCGCCUGAUGACACUACGUUUACGGGAUCUGCUAGUGGCUUGCCUACUUAGGGAGUAAACCCUGUGAAGUCUCGCAGUUUUGUUAAAGUGUGCGUGGCCACCUGAAUGCUGCCUUAUCACAAGCCAGAUACAUACUGGUCUGUAGGGUAACUCCCCACUGUUGAUCCUCUGAGAUGAUUGUGGACUGGGUGCUGUGAGUCCUGCCACUUUGUUUAAGUGAAUGUGUCUUUUGUCCAGCUCAGCCGCCUCGGAUCUCGCUGCCACCAGCCUUACUGCACACCCGUGCCACCCGCCCUUGCCCCGUCAGCCUCAGCCUCAGCUCAUUCUCUCAGGCAGUCCCAGCAUUGGCACGGUACCUCCUCCCGCUGUGGGCCACACGUCUCUGCUCCCUGUCAACCCUCCUGCCAUCAGCACCACCACCAGCGACUUGUCUGCCCGGGAGGAUGCAACACCAUCUGCCUCCACCGGCCACCUUUCAGUGUUUCCUGCUUUCCAAGUAAAGAUACCAGCAGUGCCCUCAGAGCAGACCAGCCAGAGUUUUUCUGAAGCCUCCCACAGGGUGCUCCCCGGAGGAGGCCCGAGAUGCUCUCGUGACUUUGGAGCCGGGGUGGCUGGCCACCUUGGCCUGGGCAUCUUUGGGGUGGGCUUCGGGAGCCCGGCACUGCUGCAGAGUGUGGUGGAUGAGAACAGCUGCUGCUUGCUGUACGUGGUGGAGGACCAGCUGUGUGAUGUGGAGCAAGCCUUCAGAGCUGAGCAUUUGGGCCAACACCAGAGUGGUUCGGGAACAGGAUGCAGACAUUGUCCUCAACGACCAGCGGUACGGUUUCAGUUGUCAGCAGAGGUUCACUGAACACCUGCUGUGUGCCGGGCACCGUCCUGGGGGCUGGAGAAAUGGCUCUGAAUGCUGCAAAGUCCCCAUGCUUGUGCUGCUGAAUUGGGGGCAGAGGCAGAUGCGUAGAUCUCAACACAUCAGUAGCAAUAAGCUCUGCGGAGAGAACUCACGCUGAGUCGGGAGAGGGAGGCUGGUGGGAGUGCUGUUUUAGGCACUUUGAUCCGGUUUUCCAGUUCUUGCACAAGCAAGUUUGUGUCAGCCACGCCCUGGGGAGGAUCCACUGGAUCACCGCCGUCACUGCCUGUUCCCGGCGGCCUCUCCGGCUUCCCUAAAGAGAGCAGGUGGGACUUUCUACAACGCUGCUGUGCACGACGUGGAUGCCGUAUGCAUGUUGCUGGGGGAAGCCACUCCGGACACUGUGUUUUCUCUGGGACAUGUCUUCUGCCCAGAUAUGGCCGCCUUAAAAGAUGCAGAUGCUGUUGUGAUCAGCAUGAAGUUUCCCUGUGAGGCCGUGGUUAGCGUGGACAUCAGCCAGCACUGCACAGACAGCUGCGACCAGGACGUCAGCCAGCACUGCACAGACAGCUGCGACCAGAGACUGGAGGGCGUUUUAGAGUCCCCGUUUCUACGUUCUAUGUGGCACCCUCUUGCCGAGGGAACAUCCAGAAUCCCUCCACUUCCUGUCUAGUUUGAGGCCUCAACACCUUCAUGAUCCAGAGUCCUGCGGCUAUGAGGGGGUGGGCCCACCACCGCCCAGCCCUCCUUGGUGGACGUGGGGACAGGUUUUGCUGAGAAACGGGAGUGCGUUCUGUGUCGGUGUUUGUGACGCCCUGAGACCCUGCUUGGCCUAGCUAAAGUCCAGAAGGCCUGGGCCCCACAGGGCUUGGAUGAGGGCUCAUGGGCCUGUACUUCAGGAGGCCUGAGAGGCCCGGUCAGUCCCAUGAGGCUACUCGGCUUGGCCCGCAGGUCCUCCGAGGCACAGGGCAGAGGGACACCCCAGGGACCCAUCAGACUCACGACACAGAGAAACUCAAGUGGGGUGCCAGGGCCGGCCACAGAGGCCACGGGCUUCCUGCCUGUGAGGAGCCGCCCUGUUUGUCUGAGCCCUUUGGAGAUUUAGGUUGAGUCAUGAGAACCGGUCAUUGGAACAUACACUUUAUUAUGUUACAAAAACAAAAAUCCCCACUGAAACACAGCUAAAAAAAUAACACAUUUUCCCAAGAUUACAUUACCAAAAACAGUUGUUAUGUCAUUGGAGGGCGUCCAUUAAUACUGCUCGGAGAA
Molecule: long non-coding RNA, 2408 nt
Organism: Homo sapiens (human)
Lineage: Eukaryota; Metazoa; Chordata; Mammalia; Primates; Hominidae
Gene: GFOD3P
Product: Gfo/Idh/MocA-like oxidoreductase domain containing 3, pseudogene
Source: Ensembl